RNAcentral lists this ribosomal RNA (662 nucleotides) under Candidatus Saccharimonadota bacterium. RNAcentral describes it as "partial 23S ribosomal RNA". It matches the Rfam family "Bacterial large subunit ribosomal RNA", at positions 1 to 494 of the family's 2925-position model. The record is from RNAcentral. Lineage: Bacteria; Candidatus Saccharimonadota.
AAAAAGGUACUCAAGGGCGCUAAAUGGAUGCCUAGACGUAUAUUACCGAUGAAGGACGUGGAAGACUGCGAUAAGCCUCGGGAAGCUGUCAACAAGCUUUGAUCCGGGGAUUUCCGAAUGGGGAAACCCAGCAUGGGACAUGCCAUGUUGCCUCGUACUGAACACAUAGGUACGUGAGCGGGAACCAACUGAACUGAAACAUCUUAGUAGGUUGAGGAAGAGAAAGUAAAUAACGAUUGCGAAAGUAGUGGCGAGCGAAAUCGCAACAGCCCAAACCUUUUAAGUUUUGUCUAUUGUUCAAAUACUUUGAACUCGGGUUUUAACGAACGCCGCGCAAGUUCAAAGCUUGGAUCAAUAGACAAUAAGCUGAUAGGCGAAUACUUAUAAGGGGUUGUGAUAUAACAUAUGACCAAGUCAGAGCGUUGAACUUCGGUUCAGCAAUCUGAUUUGCGAUCACUGGCUAUCAACAGUGAGUAAGGUAAGAAAUCGGCGUGGUUAGCAGAAUAAUUUGAAUGAUUAACCAAAGAACGUGAAAGUCGUGUAUGCGAAAACGACGCUGACCUUAUAUAUGUUUUAUCGAGUAGGACGGGGCACGAGAAACCCUGUUUGAAUCUGGCUGGACCACCAGCCAAGGCUAAAUAUAAUAUACGAUCGAUAGUGAA